CCGAAAAUUAUACAAUGUGAAGUACCCAUUGAAUUAAAACAAGAUCAGAAACAAGUUAUGGUACGAUGCUUGUGAUGUUACUCUGAGUGUAUAUCCACAUCGGGCAGGCUUGAAAAAUAUGCCUGGCCACGGUGGGAAUCGAACCUACGACCUUUGGAAUACUAGCCCAAGGCUCAGUUGGCAGAGCCUUGGGUUAGUAUUCCAAAGAUCGUAGGUUCGAUUCCCAUCGUGGGCAGGCAUAUUUUUCAAGCCUGCCCGGUGUGGAUAUACACUCAGAGUAACAUCACAUGUACAAGCAUCUUAUUUACCUGAGUACAUUACACCAACACAGCAAAUUUCAAGUUAUGGUACUUCAAUACUAGGUUAUGAAAAUAUCAUAACUUGUUUUUGGUUCUUCUUAGUUACAUACUACAAUUAGUCUGGACUGCAUGUUGUUUGAAGCAGUUAUGUCGGAAAUUGUUUUCGCAACUGCUCCUGAUUACGUGUGAAAUAUGUAUACAGUUUUCUCUCUAAUUUCCAUCUACAAAACCCUUCAACUUUCUGUUCUAUUAAUUAGCAUGCCUUAAAUUUACUG
Molecule: non-coding RNA, 574 nt
Organism: Paramuricea clavata
Lineage: Eukaryota; Metazoa; Cnidaria; Anthozoa; Malacalcyonacea; Plexauridae
Source: the annotation of a GenBank genome assembly